This 373-nucleotide ribosomal RNA is filed under the name uncultured organism. RNAcentral describes it as "bacterial SSU rRNA". It matches the Rfam family "Bacterial small subunit ribosomal RNA", at positions 526 to 896 of the family's 1533-position model. The record is from RNAcentral.
CGUAGGGCGCGAGCGUUGUCCGGAUUUAUUGGGCGUAAAGAGCUCGUAGGCGGCUCGUUGCGUCAAUCGUGAAAACCCGGGGCUUAACUUCGGGCUUGCGGUUGAUACGGGCGGGCUGGAGUUCGGUAGGGGAGACUGGAAUUCCUGGUGUAGCGGUGAAAUGCGCAGAUAUCAGGAGGAACACCGGUGGCGAAGGCGGGUCUCUGGGCCGAUACUGACGCUGAGGAGCGAAAGCGUGGGGAGCGAACAGGAUUAGAUACCCUGGUAGUCCACGCUGUAAACGUUGGGCGCUAGGUGUGGGGGGCCUCUCCGGUUUCCUGUGCCGUAGCUAACGCAUUAAGCGCCCCGCCUGGGGAGUACGGCCGCAAGGCUA